UAGAAAAUGAUGAUGAAAAGUAAUGCAUAGUUCAACUGAAUUAGUAUGAAGAUAAAAACAACCAUCGAAAUUAGUCUUUCACCCCUAUCUGAUUUAUA
Molecule: small nucleolar RNA, 98 nt
Filed under: Pachysolen tannophilus NRRL Y-2460
Lineage: Eukaryota; Fungi; Ascomycota; Pichiomycetes; Alaninales; Pachysolenaceae
Description: Small nucleolar RNA snR60/Z15/Z230/Z193/J17
Rfam family: Small nucleolar RNA snR60/Z15/Z230/Z193/J17
About the family: The members of this family belong to the C/D class of snoRNAs which contain the C (UGAUGA) and D (CUGA) box motifs. Most of the members of the box C/D family function in directing site-specific 2'-O-methylation of substrate RNAs. The family includes the yeast snoRNA snR60 (also known as Z15) and the corresponding human guide snoRNA U80 (SNORD80).
Source: Rfam by way of RNAcentral